AGUGAACGCUGGCGGUAGGCCUAACACAUGCAAGUCGAACGGCAGCACAGUAAGAGCUUGCUCUUACGGGUGGCGAGUGGCGGACGGGUGAGGAAUACAUCGGAAUCUACUUUUUCGUGGGGGAUAACGUAGGGAAACUUACGCUAAUAUCGCAUACGACCUACGGGUGAAAGAAGGGGAUCUUCGGAACUUGCGCGAUUGAAUGAGCCGAUGUCGGAUUAGCUAGUUGGCGGGUUAAAGGCCCACCAAGGCGACGAUCGGUAGCUGGUCUGAGAGGAUGAUCAGCCACACUAGAACUGGAACACGGUCCAGACUCCUACGGGAAGCAGCAGUGGGGAAUAUUGGACAAUAGGCGCAAGCCUGAUCCAGCCAUACCGCGUAGGUGAAGAAGGCCUUCGGGUUGUAAAGCCCUUUUGUUGGGAAAGAAAAGCAGCAGGUUAAUACCCCGCUGUUCUGACGGUACCCAAAAAAUAAGCACCGGCUAACUUCGUG
RNAcentral lists this ribosomal RNA (492 nucleotides) under uncultured bacterium. RNAcentral describes it as "partial 16S ribosomal RNA". It matches the Rfam family "Bacterial small subunit ribosomal RNA", at positions 29 to 507 of the family's 1533-position model. The record is from RNAcentral.